This 388-nucleotide unclassified non-coding RNA is filed under the name uncultured fungus. Its description in RNAcentral is "partial contains 5.8S ribosomal RNA, internal transcribed spacer 2, and large subunit ribosomal RNA". Lineage: Eukaryota; Fungi. The record is from RNAcentral.
AACGCACAUGGCGCUUCUGGAAAUCGUCCGGGAGCAUGCUUGUUUCAGUGUCUGUGGCAACCCUCCGGCGGUGUAUUCCGUCGGGAGUAUGGGCGUGUCCGAGCUGUCAGCUUGGUGGCCUGAAGCGCACAACCCUGGGCACGCGGCGGAGCAGAGUGUGAACUCGCUGGCUGCGGACGUUGGUUACGGAACCGCCUGGUGUGGUGGUGUGGUGCUUUUACGCAUCGCAACCCGCCCCAAGCGUGUCUGAGCCGUGUCUGUCAGCGCUGAACAGCGGUCCGCACUCUGACCCGUGUCAGUGUGCCGAGAGCAGCCUUGGCUGCUCCGGUCAAUCCCUUUACAUCAACGACCGGACCUGAAAUCAAGUAGGAUGACCCGCUGAAUUUAA